This is a non-coding RNA of Salvelinus sp. IW2-2015, 1621 nucleotides long. The record is from RefSeq and is a predicted model, not a curated record. NCBI's taxonomy places the organism in Eukaryota, Metazoa, Chordata, Actinopteri, Salmoniformes, Salmonidae.
UAGGCUACAGUAGAUUACAGUAGACUACAAUAGGCUACAGUAGACUGACUACAUUAGGCUACAGUGUAUUACAUUAGGCUACAGUAUAUUAGAUUAGGCUACAUUAGGCUACAGUAGACUACAGUAGGCUGCAGUAGACUGACUACAUUAGGCUACAGCAGGGUAUGUUAGGCUACAGUAGAUUACAGUAGACUACAGUAGACUGCAGUAGAUUACAGCAGAUGACAGUAGGCUGCAUUAGACUGACUACAUUAGGCUACAGUAGAUUACAGUAGACUACAGUAGGCUGCAGUAGAUUACAGCAGACGACAGUAGGCUGCAGUAGACUGACUACAUUAGGCUACAGUAGACUACAUUAGGCUACAGCAGGAUAUGUUAUGCUACAGUAGAAAGUAAAAGUGAGAAACGUCUAUUUGUAAUGUGCAAGCGACAGAGUGUAUGUGGUUAGGGUAUCAAUGUAUGUGGAGGCUAGAGGUUAGGUACAGAUAUGGUAAUGUAUGUGGAGGCUAGAGGUUAGGGUACAGAUAUGGUAAUGUAUGCGGAGGCUAGGGGCUAGGGCACAGAUAUGGUAAUGUAUGCGGAGGCUAGGGGCUAGGGCACAGAUAUGGUAAUGUAUGCGGAGGCUAGAGGUUAGGGUACAGAUAUGGUAAUGUGGUGGAGGCUAGAGGUUAGGGUACAGAUAUGGUAAUGUGGUGGAGGCUAGAUGUUUAGGGCACAGAUAUGGUAAUGUAUGCGGAGGCUAGAGGUUAGGGUACAGAUAUGGUAAUGUAUGUGGAGGCUAGAGGUUAGGGCACAGAUAUGGUAAUGUAUGUGGAGGCUAGAGGUUAGGGUACAGAUAUGGUAAUGUGGUGGAGACUAGGGGUUAGGGCACAGAUAUAGCAAGUCCCAGAGAUUAUGGGGUAUUGUUAUAUUGAGUUCACAUGUACGUUCUUAUGAAUUGUGCCCUAGAAAGAAACGCUUGCAGUAACCAAGGACAACCAAGGAACAAGGGUGUGCCACACCAGUGCCCUCCCCAGUGUAUUGUAUAACCAUGGAUUCUUGUGUCAAGCGCUAUACACAAUAAUAAUAUCACUUCAAAUAGUCAUGUAGUUCUAUUAUACACAUAUAUUAUGGGUCAAUUAUCUAACCUAUGGUGCAAAUAAUAUUCCUUAUUAUAUUGUAUAUUAUUGAGAAAUAUAUUCAAACAUUAAAAACAAGACAAGGAUGAGGUCCUGUCUUUGCCACAACGUCAACGUAACGCUCACAUAUCUUUUUACCUGUAUGACUUUAUGUACAAACACAAAUCAGAGAGGUGUCUAAGGUCCUAUGUUUUUAACCAAAGACAAAGCACUCCUGUAUUAAGAUUGAAUCAUUCAUAUUUUUAAGCUUCAUGUGUUUGUAUUGUUAGAGUUUUGCAUUGUUUUUGUUGGACAUGAAGACUACUUUGUAUAACAGUGGUAAUAUAUUGUGGUCUGUUUUCUUAUUGAUCUUUAUAUGUAGUAAUAUAUUUUCUCACAUGCAGCUAGGAAAGUGAAAGUCAAAAGGAAACAUUUGUAAGGAAAAUAAUCUGUUAUAUGCUAUUUUUUUAAGAAAGCUUUGUAUGCACAAAUGAAUAUAAUAAAACAAAAGUUGUGGUACCAAA